UACGUAGGGUGCGAGCGUUGUCCGGAAUUAUUGGGCGUAAAGAGCUCGUAGGCGGUGUGUCACGUCGGCCGUGAAAACCUGGGGCUUAACUCUGGGCGUGCGGUCGAUACGGGCAUCACUAGAGUUCGGCAGGGGAGACUGGAAUUCCUGGUGUAGCGGUGAAAUGCGCAGAUAUCAGGAGGAACACCGGUGGCGAAGGCGGGGUCUCUGGGCCGAUACUGACGCUGAGGAGCGAAAGCAUGGGUAGCGAACAGG
Molecule: ribosomal RNA, 255 nt
Filed under: uncultured bacterium
Lineage: Bacteria
Description: partial 16S ribosomal RNA
Rfam family: Bacterial small subunit ribosomal RNA
Source: RNAcentral